UUGAGUCUUGACUUUCUGAUGUUGUAGGGUCCAGUAGAGGUUGCUGUUGUUUUCUUGAAGGACAGUCCAGAAAAUAAAGCACAGGACGUCCGCCACAGAAACAAACUACGUCUCUCCUUUAAGGAUUUCCUCAAAAAGUGCAGUGAUGCUCUUCAUAAGAAUAAAACCCUGAUUUCAAGUGAUCAGAAGGAAUAUCAGCGUGAGUUAGAACGAAACUACCACAAUGUCCGAGACAAACUACUACCCUACAUCUCAUCUAACCUAGCCACUCUUAGAUCUAAGCACCACAGACGUGGGAACAAAGAUUCUCCCAGUAAACACAAAUCAUCAGGAUCAUCCAAAACCUAGCCUCACACAGACCAGGCCAUGAUUUACACAGAACGAGAGUGAAUUACAGAAACUUCAUUGUAAAAUGUUAACCAUGUGCUUAAUGGAAAGGUGUGCCCUGUACAA
Molecule: long non-coding RNA, 453 nt
Organism: Saccostrea cuccullata (small rock oyster)
Lineage: Eukaryota; Metazoa; Mollusca; Bivalvia; Ostreida; Ostreidae
Exons: 3
Source: RefSeq, a predicted model, not a curated record